RNAcentral lists this unclassified non-coding RNA (139 nucleotides) under soil metagenome. RNAcentral describes it as "partial internal transcribed spacer 1". The record is from RNAcentral.
CAUUCAGUAGCCUAGCUACUUGUUUAUACCCUUGUUUUUUUGCGUACCUAUUGUUUCCUCGGUGGGCUUGCCUGCCGGUUGGACAAAACUAUAACCUUUUUAAAUCUUCAAUCAGCGUCCGAAUUAUACAUAAUAAUUA